AUGAUUUUCAAAUAUUCAAUUAUGAUGCACUGAACUACUGAUUGUGUCGCACCGAAAGGUGACGCACUGAAAAACUGAAUGUGAACUACUGAAUGUGAUUAUGUGACGCACUGAAUGUGAACUGACUACGCAUUGAACUACUGAAUGUGACGCACUGAAGGUUGCAAGGAUUGUCGGGAAGACUUGGAUGGAUGGUUCGAGGGAUUAAAGACGCACAUGGAUUU
This 224-nucleotide long non-coding RNA is filed under the name Helianthus annuus (common sunflower). RNAcentral's name for it is "sRNA HanXRQr2_Chr07g0313721". The record is from RNAcentral. Lineage: Eukaryota; Viridiplantae; Streptophyta; Magnoliopsida; Asterales; Asteraceae.